GUUUAUAGGAGCACCACCAUAGGCAACAACCACCCUGACGCCAGUUUGAUAUGAAAACUUUUUAGCCUCGUCAUGAAUUUGGCAUGAGAGCUCCCUAGUCGGGGAGAGAAUAAGAGCUAGAGGAAAUGCCAUACGUGGACGAGGAGGUCUAGGAAAUUGGCCCCUCAUGAUCCCACUUAUGAUUGGGAAGCAGAAAGCAGCAGUUUUUCCAGAACCAGUCUGAGCACAAGCCAUCAAAUCCCUCCCUGCGAGUGAAAUAGGUAUAGCAUGCCGUUGCACAGGGGUCGGCUUAACAUACUUGCACCUCCUUAUAUUUUCAUUGACAGCUUCACCUAAAUCAAUCUCUGCAAAAGUAUUCACAGGAGGGGGCACAUUAUCCCCGCUUGUUUCCACUGGAAUAUCCUCA
Molecule: unclassified non-coding RNA, 406 nt
Filed under: Hevea brasiliensis (rubber tree)
Lineage: Eukaryota; Viridiplantae; Streptophyta; Magnoliopsida; Malpighiales; Euphorbiaceae
Source: RNAcentral